This 425-nucleotide ribosomal RNA is filed under the name uncultured bacterium. RNAcentral describes it as "partial 16S ribosomal RNA". It matches the Rfam family "Bacterial small subunit ribosomal RNA", at positions 354 to 796 of the family's 1533-position model. The record is from RNAcentral.
GUUAGGAAUAUUGGACAAUGGGCGCAAGCCUGAUCCAGCCAUGCCGCGUGAGUGAUGAAGGCCUUCGGGUUGUAAAGCUCUUUAGUCCACGAAUAUAAUGACUGUAGUGGAAGAAUAAGCCCCGGCUAACCUCGUGCCAGCAGCCGCGGUAAUACGAAGGGGGCGAGCGUUAUUCGGAAUCACUGGGCGUAAAGCGUGCGUAGGCUGUUUUGUAAGUCAGAAGUGAAAGCCCAGGGCUUAACCCUGGAAUUGCUUUUGAAACUACAAGACUCGAAUUCGGGAGAGGAUAGCGGAAUUGUCAGUGUAGCAGUGAAAUGCGUAGAUAUUGACAGGAACACCAGUGGCGCAAGCGGCUAUCUGGACCGAUAUUGACGCUGAGGCACGAAAGCGUGGGGAGCAAACAGGAUUAGAAACCCGAGUAGUCC